RNAcentral lists this ribosomal RNA (429 nucleotides) under Chloroflexota bacterium. RNAcentral's name for it is "Chloroflexi bacterium partial 16S ribosomal RNA". It matches the Rfam family "Bacterial small subunit ribosomal RNA", at positions 355 to 776 of the family's 1533-position model. The record is from RNAcentral. Lineage: Bacteria; Bacillati; Chloroflexota.
UGGGGAAUAUUGCACAAUGGGCGCAAGCCCGAUGCAGCCAUGCCGCGUGUAUGAAGAAGGCUUUCGGGUUGUAAAGUACUUUCAGGCGGGAGGAAGGUGUUAAGGUUAAUAACCUUGGCAAUUGACGUUACCGACAGAAGAAGCACUGGCUAACUCCGUGCCAGCAGCCGCGGUAAUACGGAGGGUGCAAGCGUUAAUCGGAAUUACUGGGCGUAAAGCGCACGCAGGCGGUUGAUUGAGUCAGAUGUGAAAUCCCCGGGCUUAACCCGGGAAUUGCAUCUGAUACUGGUCAGCUAGAGUCUUGUAGAGGGCGGUAGAAUUCCAUGUGUAGCGGUGAAAUGCGUAGAGAUGUGGAGGAAUACCGGUGGCGAAGGCGGCCCCCUGGACAAAAACUGACGCUCAGGUUCGAAAGAGUGAGGAGCAAACAGG